Molecule: ribosomal RNA, 425 nt
Filed under: uncultured bacterium
Lineage: Bacteria
Description: partial 16S ribosomal RNA
Rfam family: Bacterial small subunit ribosomal RNA
Source: RNAcentral
GUGGGGAAUCUUGCGCAAUGGGCGAAAGCCUGACGCAGCCAUGCCGCGUGAAUGAUGAAGGUCUUAGGAUUGUAAAAUUCUUUCACCGGGGACGAUAAUGACGGUACCCGGAGAAGAAGCUCCGGCUAACUUCGUGCCAGCAGCCGCGGUAAUACGAAGGGGGCUAGCGUUGCUCGGAAUUACUGGGCGUAAAGGGCGCGUAGGCGGACAGCUUAGUCAGAGGUGAAAGCCCAGGGCUCAACCUUGGAAUUGCCUUUGAUACUGGCUGUCUUGAGUUUGGGAGAGGUGAGUGGAACUCCGAGUGUAGAGGUGAAAGUCGUAGAUAUUCGGAAGAACACCAGUGGCGAAGGCGACUCACUGGCCCGUUACUGACGCUGAGGCGCGAAAGCGUGGGGAGCAAACAGGAUUAGAAACCCCUGUAGUCC